UUUUUGAAAUUAAUAAAAAGUAAUCUCCUGCCCAGUGAAUACAUUUAAACGGCCGCGGUAUCAUAACCGUGCAAAGGUAGCAUAAUAAUUUGCCCAUUAAUUGUGGGCUAGAAUGAACGGGGUCACGAAAUAAGAGCUGUCUCAAUAAAUUAAAUAAAAACUAAUAUUUAAGUGAAGAAGCUUAAAUCAAAAUAAAGGACAAGAAGACCCUAUAGAGCUUUAUUUCCCCUCAUAAAUUAUGAAGGUCGAAUUCGGUUGGGGCGACCAAGGAAAAUUCAUCCUUAAUUAUAUAAGAUCCAUUCAUCCUUUCAAUGAUCCUUUUAAAGAUCAAUAAAUCAAGCUACCUUAGGGAUAACAGGCUAAUCCUAUUAUAGAGCUCUUAUCAACAAUAGGGAUUGGCACCUCGAUGUUGGCUUAGAAGAUCUCCAUAGCGCAAAAGCAAUGGAAAGAAGGUUUGUUCAACCUAUAAUAUUC
Molecule: ribosomal RNA, 474 nt
Filed under: Henlea heleotropha
Lineage: Eukaryota; Metazoa; Annelida; Clitellata; Enchytraeida; Enchytraeidae
Description: partial 16S large subunit ribosomal RNA
Rfam family: Bacterial large subunit ribosomal RNA
Source: RNAcentral